RNAcentral lists this long non-coding RNA (2215 nucleotides) under Brassica napus (rape). RNAcentral's name for it is "long non-coding RNA (BNAP_LNC004015)". Lineage: Eukaryota; Viridiplantae; Streptophyta; Magnoliopsida; Brassicales; Brassicaceae. The record is from RNAcentral.
UAAGGAGAAAUAUGAUUAUUGGAGUAAAAGAGGAUUUGAGUUGCAGAUGGGAGUAUUGUCAAAUGCAUGACAUGAUGAGAGAAGUAUGUUUAUCUAAAGCCAAAGAAGAGAACUUUCUUCAGUUUAUCAAAGUCCCUACUACUUCCACCUCCACCAUCAAUGCUCAUACUCCUACCAGAUCUCGCAGACUCGUAGUACACGGUGGUGGUAAUGCAUUUGAUAUGCUGGAACGUAAAAACAAUCAAAAAGCUAGAUCUGUUUUGGGUUUUGGACUCGACAGCAACUUGUGGAAGCAGUCAGGUCAAGGAUUCCAAAAUUUACUGUUACUUAGGGUCUUAGAUUUGAGUUUAGAUUAUAAAAUAGACUCUAAAGGGUGGAGAAUACCUUCGAGCAUUGGAAAACUCAUUCAUUUGAGAUAUUUGAGAUUAGAGAUGGGUCAUGCAACUCAUGUACCUUCUUCUUUACGGAAUCUAAAGCUUCUAAUCUAUUUGAGAAUUUACUCCUGGAAAAGAGUUCAUCUGCCAAGUAUCUUUAAAGAGAUGGUAGAGUUGAGGUUCCCUAUCUACAUUUUUUUUUAAUUUUUAAAACUUUAGUUAUUGUUUUCCAUUUGUUCCUCAUCAAGAUUAGAGGAGAAAAUAUUUGUUAAAGAAUUCCCACGAUUAUGAGGAAAACAAAUGAAUAUAAUGAAACCUAUGUAUUAACAAUUUGACAAAACAUUCAACUCAAUUGGUAACAAUUUGAAGAAAUAAAAAAUUCAUCAUUUUUUUUUCUAAAAUGGUGUCACCAAUUGAAACCCUAGUGUUUGCAGUUGCAGGCGGUUGCAGGAGGCUAGGGUAAUUUUUUUUUUUUUUAACAAUAUAAAUACAAAAAUACAAAUAAAAAUUUAAAUUUAAAUUGAAAUACUAAAAUAUAUCUAUUAUAUCUAAAUUUAUAUUAUGAAUUUUUAAAAUAAAAAUAUUUUCAAUAAUUUUUAAAUUUUAAAACUAUAUAUUUCUAAUAUAAUUUUUAUAUUUAUUAUAACAUUAUGAUGUUUAAUAUUUUUAUAAUUAUAGAAAAUAUAAAUAUUGUUAAUUUAUUAUUUAACCGUUGUAUAUUUGGUUGUUAAUCUGUCAUACGCAUCCCGCAAACGAGCCGAUUUUUAACCACAGUAUCAGUCAUACAAAUUUCUUAAAACCGCUUAAAAUUACAAUCAACCGCAUCCGCGAAAUCUCGCAACCACAACCGCGAAUCUCGCAGCCACAACCACUACGGUUACACCAGUCAUGUCCUAAGUAAACUAUAAAAAGGGCCAUCAUAAAAACUAACAAUUCUCCGGAUAGUUAUUAAGUUAGACAAUAUAUAUAGAUUCCUCUUAACUAAUAAAAUUAAUUAUUUAUUAAUAAUAUCAACGACUUUAACCGAUUUUAACAUUUAAGGUGAGAGCUAAUAAAAAAUACUAAAUCAUUAAUAAUAUAAAUUUAUUAUUUUGAACAUUUAAAAGGACUAGACACAUAUUAUUUAGGCUCUAAUCUCAUAGUACUGUUUUCAGAAUUUAUUGUUGAUGAAGAACUAGAAGCCAUGGGAAGGAAAAUGGUCAAAUAUUGUGGAGGACUACCAUUAGCUGUUAAAGUGUUGGGAGGUUUGUUAGCUAAUAAAAUCAUGGUUGAAGAGUGGAAAAGAGUAGAUGACAAUAUUAAAACUCAGAUAGUUCGCAGAGAUGACAAAAAUCAAGAUUCGGUUUACCGAGUAUUGUCUAUGAGCUAUGAAGAUUUGCCAAUGCAGUUGAAGAAUUGCUUCCUCUACCUAGCUCAUUUUCCAGAAGAUUACAAGAUAGAAGCAGAGCAAUUGUAUUAUUACUGGGAAGCAGAAGGAAUAAUAACGUCAAGUGUCGAUGGAGAAACCACUAGGAAAAUUGGAGAAGACUACAUAGACGAGCUAGUAAGGAGAAAUAUGAUUAUUGGAGUAAAAGAGGAUUUGAGUUGCAGAUGGGAGUAUUGUCAAAUGCAUGACAUGAUGAGAGAAGUAUGUUUAUCUAAAGCCAAAGAAGAGAACUUUCUUCAGUUUAUCAAAGUCCCUACUACUUCCACCUCCACCAUCAAUGCUCAUACUCCUACCAGAUCUCGCAGACUCGUAGUACACGGUGGUGGUAAUGCAUUUGAUAUGCUGGAACGUAAAAACAAUCAAAAAGCUAGAUCUGUUUUGGGUUUUGGACUCGACAGCAACUUGUGGAAGCAGU